AGUCGUAACAAGGUUUCCGUAGGUGAACCUGCGGAAGGAUCAUUACAGUUAUUAUAUUCUGCCAGCGCUUAGUUGCGCGGCGGGAAAUAAUCCUUACACACUGUGUUUUUUGUUAUUACAAGAACCAUUGCUUUGGCUUGGCUUAGAAAUAAGUUGGGCCAGAGGUAUACUAAAACUUCAAUUUUUAAUUGAAUUGUUAACUAAUUUUAUUGUCAAUUUGUUUGAUUAAAUUCAAAAUAAUCUUCAAAACUUUCAACAACGGAUCUCUUGGUUCUCGCAUCGAUGAAGAACGCAGCGAAAUGCGAUAAGUAAUAUGAAUUGCAGAUUUUCGUGAAUCAUCGAAUCUUUGAACGCACAUUGCGCCCUCUGGUAUUCCAUAGGGCAUGCCUGUUUGAGCGUCAUUUCUCUCUCAAACCUCUGGGUUUGGUAUUGAGUGAUACUCUUAGUCGAACUAGGCGUUUGCUUGAAAAGUAUUGGCAUGAGUGUGCUGGAUAGUACGUUCUGAUUAUUCAAUGUAUUAGGUUUAUCCAACUCGUUGAACGGUCGGGUGUAUAUUUCUGGUUACAACGGCUCGGCCCUACAACAACAAACAAGUUUGACCUCAAAUCAGGUAAGAAUACCCGCUGAACUUAAGCAUAUCAAUAAGCGGAGGAAAUUAAAAGUCG
RNAcentral lists this ribosomal RNA (665 nucleotides) under uncultured fungus. RNAcentral describes it as "eukaryotic LSU rRNA". The stretch from base 248 to 401 matches the Rfam family "5.8S ribosomal RNA". The record is from RNAcentral. Lineage: Eukaryota; Fungi.